UACGGAGGGAGCUAGCGUUGUUCGGAAUUACUGGGCGUAAAGCGCACGUAGGCGGUUAUUCAAGUCAGAGGUGAAAGCCCGGAGCUCAACUUCGGAACUGCCUUUGAAACUAGGUAACUAGAAUCCUGGAGAGGUGAGUGGAAUUCCGAGUGUAGAGGUGAAAUUCGUAGAUAUUCGGAAGAACACCAGUGGCGAAGGCGGCUCACUGGACAGGUAUUGACGCUGAGGUGCGAAAGCGUGGGGAGCAAACAGG
RNAcentral lists this ribosomal RNA (253 nucleotides) under uncultured bacterium. Its description in RNAcentral is "partial 16S ribosomal RNA". It matches the Rfam family "Bacterial small subunit ribosomal RNA", at positions 524 to 776 of the family's 1533-position model. The record is from RNAcentral.